RNAcentral lists this ribosomal RNA (1496 nucleotides) under uncultured bacterium. RNAcentral's name for it is "bacterial SSU rRNA". It matches the Rfam family "Bacterial small subunit ribosomal RNA". The record is from RNAcentral.
GCUUAGAGUUUGAUCCUGGCUCAGGAUGAACGCUAGCGGAACGCCUAACACAUGCAAGUCGAACGAGUUUUAUUUUGUAGCAAUACAGAAUAAAAUUAGUGGCAAACGAGCGAGUAACGCGUACUUAAUCUGCCCAAAAGUUGAGAACAACUAUAGAGAUGUAGCUAAUUCUCAAUAUGCUCACGAUGGUGAAAAUCCGAUGUGAGGAAAGAUUUAUCGCUUUUGGAGGAGGGUGCGUCCUAUCAGGUUGUUGGUGAGGUAAUAGCUCACCAAGCCUAUGACGGGUAGCCGGUCUGAGAUGAUGUCCGGCCGCGAUGGAACUGAGAUACGGUCCAUACUCCUACGGGAGGCAGCAGUGGGGAAUCUUGCACAAUGGGCGAAAGCCUGAUGCAGCGGUUCCGCGUGGAGGAUGACGCAUUACGGUGUGUAAACUCCUUCUUUGGUGGAAGACGAAUGACGGUACACCAAGAAUAAGGGACGGCUAACUACGUGCCAGCAGCCGCGGUAAUACGUAGGUCCCAAGCGUUAUCCGGAUUUACCGGGCGUAAAGUGUCCGUAGCCUGGUAUAUAAGUCUGUUUUCAAGUGCCACGACUCAAUCGUGGAAAGGGAAUAGAUACUGUAUACCUAGAGAAUAUUGGAGGUUAGUGGAAUUUCCGGUGGAGCAGUGAAAUGCGUUGAUAUCGGAAAGAACGCCGAAAGCGAAAGCAGCUAACUAUGAUAUUUCUGACGGUGAUGGACGACAGCUUGAGUAGCAAACGGGAUUAGAUACCCCCGGUAGUUCAAGCCGUAAAUUAUCCUUUGCUAGGUGUCUCCAUAACUAUUGGUAUAGCAUUUGUUAUAUCAAAAGUUAUGGAGGUGCCGUAAGUUAACACGUUAAGCAAGGCGCCUGUGUAGUAUAUUCGCAAGAAUGAAACACAAAGGGAUAGACGGGGGAACACACAAGCAGUGGAUGAUCUAGAUUAAUUGGAUACUAAGCCAAGAAUCUUACCCAGACUUGACAUGGAUUGUGUCUACGAUGAAAGUCGUAUAGCUAUAGCAAUAUAGCGCUUUUCACAGAUGGUGCAUGGUCGUCGUCAGCUCGUGCCGCAAGGUGUCUAGUUAAGUCUAGUAACGAGCGCAACCCUCAUCGUUAGUUAGUUAUGUCUAACGAGACUGCCCGCGUAAGCGGGAGGAAGGAGAGGAUGACGUCAGAUCCUCAUGCCUCUUACGUCUGGGGCUUCAUAGAUCAUACAAUGGGUAGUUACAAUGAGAAGCAAUACCGCAAGGUGGAGCAAAUCUUCAAAGCUACCCUCAGUUCGGAUUGUAGUCUGGAAUUCGACUACAUGAAGUUGGAAUUGCUAGUAAUGGUGAAUCAGCCAUGUCACCGUGAAUAUGUCCCUGUUCCUUGCACUCACCGCCCGUCAAACCAUGGGAGUUGGGGCUCUUUGAAGACUCGCUAUGCGGGUUAAGGAGAGAACCGAUGACUGGGGUUAAGUCGUAACAAGGUAACCAAGCC